Molecule: ribosomal RNA, 319 nt
Filed under: uncultured eukaryote
Lineage: Eukaryota
Description: partial 18S ribosomal RNA
Rfam family: Eukaryotic small subunit ribosomal RNA
Source: RNAcentral
CCCUUAGAUGAUUUGGGCUGCACGCGCGCUACACUGACCCUAACAAUGAGCAACUGUCUGGCCUGAGAUGGCUGGGUAGCUUUUUCAACCCAUGUCAUGAUUGGGCUAGAUUUUUGUAAGUCUUGAUCUCUAACGAGGAAUCCCUAGUAUGCGUGAAUCAUCAAUCCAUGCAGAUUAUGUCCCUGCCCUUUGUACACACCGCCCGUCGCUCCUACUGAUUGGGUGAUCCGGUGAGCUGUUCGGCCAUAGCAAUGUUUCUUGAGCAGGGCAAUGAAUGUUUCGCAAACCUUGCCACUUAGAGGAAGGAGAAGUCGUAACA